This 1353-nucleotide long non-coding RNA is filed under the name Equus asinus (donkey). RNAcentral's name for it is "lncRNA (ENSEASG00005038530.1)". The record is from RNAcentral. Lineage: Eukaryota; Metazoa; Chordata; Mammalia; Perissodactyla; Equidae.
GUUGGUCGUGGUCCUGCCCGGAUCGGCUUAGGCGACGCCGGCAUGAAGGAGCGGGAAGCGGGCGGAAGAGGGAGUCACAGGACGGGUUUGGGCGGCCGCCCGGGGCCUGCUCAGAGGGGCCUGGCGCGCGCCGCUCGCUUCCGCCGGGGCUGUGGGGUCUCCCGGCAGGGCCAGGUCCUAGAGGCCGCUCGGCCGUCGUGCCCCGGGAGGAGCCGGAUCUGCAAUGGGGGUGAGGGCGCUUCUGUGGGGUCGCGUCAUCCUCUGUGCUCCUCCCUCCAAGGCUCCAAAGCAGCCUUGUGACUUUUCUCCAGGAGGAAGAGGAUUUCCGCUUUUCCGAGAAAAAUCACAAAGGUUGUUUUGGAGGCUUCUGAAGAGGGGUGCAGGAUGGGCGGAAAGACCCCAUGGAAGUGCCUUUCCCACAUUUUCCGACCCUGGGUAUCCGGGGACCUAUGGCACCAGCCGGCUAUCAUGCAGCCUAGGUGGAUGCGAACAGUGCAGGCCAGGCCUCUCUAAGCACGCCCCUCAGCGGCCCUCACCCAACCCGUCCUUUGAUUCCUUCCCUUUUCCUCCCUCCCAUUCGUGCGAACCUCACCAGAGCUCACAGAGGCUGGAACAGAUGAACUUGAUAUUCUCAUUGUUGCGCAGAGCCCCCAAGGGAAAAGAAUGCAAUGAACAAGUGACUUCAUUUCCGCUUCCUGCUUUGAUCCCGGAACAUGCAAGUCUUCGGCAUUCGAGUCAUCAGAAUCACCAUCUGGAUCAGGAGGCCUGUGACUAGCUGUGUCUUCCUGCCAGUCCUGAGGACGGAGACUAAACCUUCACCACUUUCCAGGCAGGAGAAGGGCAGCAGAUUCUCACCCUUGGUCAUACUCCAGCAGAGACACAGAACAGUCCAAGAAAACAAGUGCACCACCAAAUGGAGGUGAAGAACAUCAACGUUUGAGUGGAUAAAUUUUGAGGAAACCACAUCAGCAGUUGAGUUAUUGUAUGCAUCCAGGGGCCCUUGCCUGAGUCUGUCUUCCUGCCAGUCCUGAGAACCAAGCCUAAGCCUUCAUCACUCACCAGUCAUAGGAAAGACAAUGGAUCCUCAUUCCCCUGUCACACCUCGGCAUACAGGCAGCACAAUCCAAUUCAUCUUUGGCACAGAAGAGGCAACAACCGAACAACUACAAAAAUCCCACAAUAUAUUAAACAUUGAACAUACUCUCUUUUGGUUAAAGAAACAGAGCAUAGUCAAUAUGGCUCACACACUAGUGUCUUCCCUACUGUGCCAUCAUCCAUUUCAGGGACAUCUCCCAACUGUGCCACCAUUCAUUUCAGGGACAUCCUACAGGACAGGAGACAAGAUAAAAUUAG